Molecule: ribosomal RNA, 1044 nt
Filed under: Francisella tularensis
Lineage: Bacteria; Pseudomonadati; Pseudomonadota; Gammaproteobacteria; Thiotrichales; Francisellaceae
Description: bacterial SSU rRNA
Rfam family: Bacterial small subunit ribosomal RNA
Source: RNAcentral
GUGGCUUUCGGGCUGUCGCAGAUGGAUGAGCCUGCGUUGGAUUAGCUAGUUGGUGGGGUAAGGGCCCACCAAGGCUACGAUCCAUAGCUGAUUUGAGAGGAUGAUCAGCCACAUUGGGACUGAGACACGGCCCAAACUCCUACGGGAGGCAGCAGUGGGGAAUAUUGGACAAUGGGGGCAACCCUGAUCCAGCAAUGCCAUGUGUGUGAAGAAGGCCCUAGGGUUGUAAAGCACUUUAGUUGGGGAGGAAAGCCUCAAGGUUAAUAGCCUUGGGGGAGGACGUUACCCAAAGAAUAAGCACCGGCUAACUCCGUGCCAGCAGCCGCGGUAAUACGGGGGGUGCAAGCGUUAAUCGGAAUUACUGGGCGUAAAGGGUCUGUAGGUGGUUUGUUAAGUCAGAUGUGAAAGCCCAGGGCUCAACCUUGGAACUGCAUUUGAUACUGGCAAACUAGAGUACGGUAGAGGAAUGGGGAAUUUCUGGUGUAGCGGUGAAAUGCGUAGAGAUCAGAAGGAACACCAAUGGCGAAGGCAACAUUCUGGACCGAUACUGACACUGAGGGACGAAAGCGUGGGGAUCAAACAGGAUUAGAUACCCUGGUAGUCCACGCUGUAAACGAUGAGUACUAGCUGUUGGAGUCGGUGUAAAGGCUCUAGUGGCGCAGCUAACGCGAUAAGUACUCCGCCUGGGGACUACGGCCGCAAGGCUAAAACUCAAAGGAAUUGACGGGGACCCGCACAAGCGGUGGAGCAUGUGGUUUAAUUCGAUGCAACGCGAAGAACCUUACCUGGUCUUGACAUCCUGCGAACUUUCUAGAGAUAGAUUGGUGCCUUCGGGAACGCAGUGACAGGUGCUGCACGGCUGUCGUCAGCUCGUGUUGUGAAAUGUUGGGUUAAGUCCCGCAACGAGCGCAACCCCUAUUGAUAGUUACCAUCAUUAAGUUGGGUACUCUAUUGAGACUGCCGCUGACAAGGCGGAGGAAGGUGGGGACGACGUCAAGUCAUCAUGGCCCUUACGACCAGGGCUACACACGUGCUACAAUGGGU